GAAAGAAAAAGUAAAGGACUAAAUUGUAAGGUUUAGUCACAUUUUGUAUCAAGUACUUAUCUAGUCACUCGGGGAUCGAAGGAAAUGUCGGAGGCCGAUCACACUAUCAAAGAAAUAACUCGGUAUAACUAGACGUUUUGUUUUAGGUAUGGCAUGUAUAGAAACUUAGCUACUUUUGGUAUAAUAUGAAUAAUGAAUGAUGUGUAAAUACUUGCUAGUGAUUAGCUAAGAAAAUAGCUGAUGA
Molecule: long non-coding RNA, 244 nt
Organism: Gossypium arboreum
Lineage: Eukaryota; Viridiplantae; Streptophyta; Magnoliopsida; Malvales; Malvaceae
Exons: 2
Source: RefSeq, a predicted model, not a curated record